Cynoglossus semilaevis (tongue sole) is the source of this 2167-nucleotide long non-coding RNA. RefSeq lists it as uncharacterized. The record is from RefSeq and is a predicted model, not a curated record. The transcript is spliced from 4 exons. NCBI's taxonomy places the organism in Eukaryota, Metazoa, Chordata, Actinopteri, Pleuronectiformes, Cynoglossidae.
GUAAUAAUAUACCCCUGUAUAGUUGGUUGUAAGAUAAUAUCAUUGUUAUAUAUAAUACUGUAUGUUCCAAAUAUAUAUAUAAAUAAGAGGUUUGACUUACGCAAAGGCCAAAGUUAGGUGAUACCUUGGUGGUGACGUCACAGUUCGAUACAAAAAGAAAUGUGGAGUGACAAUACAAUACAUGUAGUUAUCCAUUAAUAACUAUUCAUGUCGCUGGAGCGAUGCUGCAGCCGGAAGGGAGCAGGUUAAAAUGUCAGUUAGCGGAAGAGAAUAAAUAGAUGCCAUGGCGGCAACGUCGCUCCUGCGUCAUCAUCAGUGACGUACUCAUCCAGCCACGUAACAACGCCUCCUUAGCGUGUAACAUUGGUGACCCUGAUUUCAGCUGAUGAUUAAAAACACUGACACUGCAGGGUUUAGACGGAUUUUUUUAUUUUUUUUAUUUAAAUUACAGAAUGAGUCGUUUGGUCUGUUAGUGUCAUGGAAAAUUCUUUACUUGGACUUUUCCCUGCCGUGCCCCGAGGCAGAAAAACCUGCCCCAGUCUUAACGGUGUGUGGGUGAAUUUAAGGGUAACAAGUAGAAUAUUUGUUUGAGGUUUAGAUGGUUAAAGGUAUCAGGUGUCAUGGACGGAUUUAGUGGAUAGAUUUCAGCCACUGAUGCAACCCUCCGUGCGUCAUUCCCCUUAAUGUAUCCACAUGGGGCAGAGCAACGGCUAACAACAGCUAACACUGUUGACCCCGCUCUCAGCUGGUGAUUAACUACAUCUGUGACGCAGCAUCUGAAGGGAAACAGAACCAGAUUUGAGGGAUAAUGUUACUUAAACAGUCGCGGCUGCAGUCAGGCUUCGAAGGAAGGGUUGGAUUUGGAUCUUAAAACAUUGAUUGAUUAAAGUGUAAUUAAAUGACCUUGAAACAUAUCUACAGGACGCACGUAGACUCAAAAGUCUCAUUUAUUUUAUUAAUUAUUCAAAUUGUAGCCAGUAGUUAACCUCUGUGUCAGGGGUUAAAGAUUUGGUCUUGUAAUCAGAAGAUUGUGAUUCUGAUGCUGAACUUGGUAGGGCUGAAGUGUGUCGAGGGAGUAGCCCCCCAGGAGCUGCUGCUGUGCCCCCAGCACACACACACACAUCACUCUGAACAAUAAUGAACACAGUUAUGUGAUACUAAAAUACUGCAAAUGACAAUUAAAAAUAAUAAAAUACAUAAAUGUACCCAACGUUAAUAUGAGGUUAAGUGCAAAUAUUUGGAAUACUUGCAAGGGUAUGAAUAAUGCAAUGUUUAAUGUUCAAUUAAUAACCAGUGCAAUAUAAUAAAAAGACCAGUAACCUUUUAAUGCAGUUUUUAAAAAAAUGAAAUGUGUUUAUUUUUUUGAGUGUAAAGAAAAUGCGUUCAGUCCAGGCUGAAAAUUGUUUGAUUAUUUUACAAAUUAUAUGUCAUCUGUGAUUAAUUUAAUCCCACCAGCAGGUGGCACUCCGGGUGUCAAUCUCUGUGGCCAAUGCUUGUAGCCAGAUGUGCCUAAUAAGAAAGAGACUUAUCUGAUAUCUCAUACUGAAAACGGAGCUGCAGAGAGGGAAGAGGAGAAACGAACAAAUCCAUCUGCAGCUGAGGAGGAACAAAAAGGGGGCAGAUCUUUGAUGUUGCUCCGUCUCCAUGGUCACAACCAGGGAUUUUUUUCACAAAGGCCUUGGAUUGUUUCGGCGUGUUCUCCUUUCAUUUGAAGCAGACUAAAUGACAGGACGUCUGUGUCUUUGCUUCCUGUCGAUGAUCACCGACUCUUCUCUGCAGCUCAGCCUGGUGUUAAUUAGUCCCUGCUCACAUAUUUGAGUUUCCAGAGUGGAGCUGUGGUAUCGCUAUAGGUGGCUGUAAAGCCAGCCGCCGGCUUUUCAGGUCUCCUGUGGCGUCCACCGCACACCAUCAGUCUAAUGCAAUCAAGUCCAGCACCUGCCUGAGACACAGCACCCACUACAACAGAGCCUCUGUUGUCCCGGUGCAGAGACACAGGACUCCUGUUUCCUGGGAUCAGGAGGUGAUGUGAAGAAAUGACAGAUGAGAGGGAAGGCUUGGAGUUUCCUCACUGAGGCCCAAACUCCAUCACAGGCAAGUUUCUACUCCUACACAGUUAAAAUCUCCAGAAUCCACUCAGUCGGUGCUUACCUUAGGAUCAAGAUUCACC